CAACCAUGACCAUUGCUACGAGGCCAGUCCCAAGGUAUCUGAGACUGGCAUCCAGUGUGUCAGAUCCACUGCUGGUCUCGGCUAAAGCAGCGGGCAUUCCAAGGGCCUCAGCACAGGUUAUUCCAAAUACUAUUCCCCUCCACUCAGUGCUCCCUGUUACGCGGGUAGCUAUCCUUUGUGUUUGGGCAACUUACUGCUCAAUUACUCCUCCUGAGGGUGUUUCAGCCUAUGAAUCUGCUCACGAGGCCACAACAGUUUCUGAUCUAACUCCAGAACCUCCAGAGGUGGCGGCAUCCGCUGCAGAACCUCCAGAGGUGGUGGCUUUCAUUUAUGAAUUCUCUGCCUGUCCUGUUACGGCUAUGGAGUCCGUAUGUGAACUCUCUGCCUGUGCUGUGACGGCUAUGGAGGCUGUAUUUGAACUCUCUGAUUGUCCAGUAAUGGCCAAGGAGGCCAUCUCGGAACUCUUUGCCUGCUCUACCACACUGAAUAGUCACUAUGUUGAACUUGUCCCACCCAACCUCCCUCUCCCUCCUCCUCCUCUACCUGUUAUGCUGUUUGCUCUGUCUCCGUUUUUAUCUGUCUGUCCCUCAGGUCAUCCUUUGAGGGUGGUAAACAGUCAGGAUUCGCCUCGGGACAGCCAGCCUCCAGCUGCCCCAAGCUUGGAAGGAUCCCAGAUCUUCAUCUCCGGCCUUCGAGACCUGGACUCCACUUCGGUCCGUUGACCCUUUGGUGUAACCUUGGCUCAAAGCUCCCUCAUCUCCAUUGUGGCCCGUCAGUCCACCAGCUCCGCCAGGCUUCCUAAUUCCUCCAGCUCCACCUUGGUCAUUUGUCAACGUGCCCUCGCCUCAGGACUACAUUCCUCCGGCUUCACCUCGUCCCUCCAUCCCUCCGGCUCCGUUGGGCUCCUCUCUCCCUCUGGCUCCUCAUUGGUCCUUCGUUGCUCUGGUUCCACCGCAGGCUUCUGGAACCCCACCUUCGCCUCGGUCGCCAGAGUCGUUGGCUCCACCAUGGCCCUCCAAUCCCUCAGUGUCAACCUGGCUCUUCGGCUCUCCGUCUUCGCCUUGGGUCCACCGGCUCCGUUUCUAUCAGUCAGACCCCUGAAACCUCCUGUUUUACUCUCCGCAUGGUUGCUCCCUCCAUCAACUCCACUGUGGACUGAGUUUUUCUCGUAAUUCUGUUUGGAGCUUCUGGAAUCUGCUCUUAGUUGGGGGGCUCUGUCACGAUAAGGGGUUUUGUCUUGGUUCUCUCUGGACUCCAUUCCCCAUAAACCCCUGCCUAGGAACUCAUUAUUGCACUACACCUGUUUCCUAUCAGUGAUAGUAUAAAGGUUGCACUCAUCCACACACGCAUUGCUGAUUGUUUAGCCUGUGCCCUGUUCCUAGUGUCCGUGAUUCCUUGCCUUGCUUUGCCUUGCCUUUUUUUGACCUUGGACUGUUUAUCGGAUUACUCUUUUGUCUCACCCUGGAUUGUACCUGUUUGCUGGUAUUUGACCCUGCCUGUUUUGACCACUCUUGUGAAUAAAAGCUGCAUUUGGAUCCUCAUCUCUGUCACGCCUCACACGUUACAAAGAGUGAUCUCUGUGGUAUAUAUUUUGCUCUGAAAAUAGCUGGGUAAAUGUGAGCUUUUUUGUGAGCUAAAGUAACAUGACUCUGG
Cyprinus carpio carpio is the source of this 1653-nucleotide long non-coding RNA. The record is from Ensembl. Lineage: Eukaryota; Metazoa; Chordata; Actinopteri; Cypriniformes; Cyprinidae.